GAUUUCACUCAGUGGUAGAGCAUGUGCUUAGCAUGUGCAAGGCCCUGGGUUCAAUUCCCAGCAUCA
Molecule: transfer RNA, 66 nt
Filed under: Marmota monax (woodchuck)
Lineage: Eukaryota; Metazoa; Chordata; Mammalia; Rodentia; Sciuridae
Description: tRNA.Ala
Source: RNAcentral